AAAUUGAAGAGUUUGAUCAUGGCUCAGAUUGAACGCUGGCGGCAGGCCUAACACAUGCAAGUCGAACGGUAACAGGAAGCAGCUUGCUGUUUUGCUGACGAGUGGCGGACGGGUGAGUAAUGUCUGGGAAACUGCCUGAUGGAGGGGGAUAACUACUGGAAACGGUGGCUAAUACCGCAUAACGUCGCAAGACCAAAGAGGGGGACCUUCGGGCCUCUUGCCAUCAGAUGUGCCCAGAUGGGAUUAGCUUGUUGGUGAGGUAACGGCUCACCAAGGCGACGAUCCCUAGCUGGUCUGAGAGGAUGACCAGCCACACUGGAACUGAGACACGGUCCA
RNAcentral lists this ribosomal RNA (336 nucleotides) under Salmonella enterica. Its description in RNAcentral is "bacterial SSU rRNA". It matches the Rfam family "Bacterial small subunit ribosomal RNA", at positions 1 to 333 of the family's 1533-position model. The record is from RNAcentral. Lineage: Bacteria; Pseudomonadati; Pseudomonadota; Gammaproteobacteria; Enterobacterales; Enterobacteriaceae.